This 72-nucleotide transfer RNA is filed under the name Eubacterium sp. RNAcentral describes it as "tRNA-Arg". It matches the Rfam family "tRNA". Rfam says of the family: Transfer RNA (tRNA) molecules are approximately 80 nucleotides in length. Their secondary structure includes four short double-helical elements and three loops (D, anti-codon, and T loops). The record is from RNAcentral. RNAcentral also lists the same sequence under 2 other names. Lineage: Bacteria; Bacillati; Bacillota; Clostridia; Eubacteriales; Eubacteriaceae.
GCACCCUUAGUUUAAUGGAUAAAACGGCCGGCUCCGGACUGGGAACUAGGGGUUCGAUUCCCCUAGGGUGCA